RNAcentral lists this ribosomal RNA (216 nucleotides) under uncultured bacterium. RNAcentral describes it as "partial 16S ribosomal RNA". It matches the Rfam family "Bacterial small subunit ribosomal RNA", at positions 524 to 738 of the family's 1533-position model. The record is from RNAcentral.
UACGAAGGGGGCUAGCGUUGCUCGGAGUUACUGGGCGUAAAGGGUGUGUAGGCGGUUUUUUAAGUUUGGUGUGAAAUCUCCCGGCUCAACUGGGAGGGUGCGCCGAAUACUGAAAGACUAGAGUGCGGGAGAGGAAAGUGGAAUUCCUGGUGUAGCGGUGAAAUGCGUAGAUAUCAGGAGGAACACCGGUGGUGUAGACGGCUUUCUUGGACCGUA